Molecule: ribosomal RNA, 748 nt
Filed under: uncultured Peptoniphilus sp.
Lineage: Bacteria; Bacillati; Bacillota; Tissierellia; Tissierellales; Peptoniphilaceae
Description: bacterial SSU rRNA
Rfam family: Bacterial small subunit ribosomal RNA
Source: RNAcentral
GACGAACGCUGGCGGCGCGCCUAACACAUGCAAGUCGAGCGAUGAAGAGAAGACAGAAGCCCUCGGGCAGACGUCAUCUUGGAUUAGCGGCGGACGGGUGAGUAACAGGUGAGUAACCUACCUUUGACACAGGGAUAGCCUCGGGAAACCGGGAUUAAUACCUGAUGACAUUACACUUUCGCAUGAAAGAGUAAUCAAAGAACUUCGGUCAAAGAUGGACUCGCCGCUGAUUAGCUAGUUGGUGAGAUAACAGCCCACCAAGGCAACGAUCAGUAGCCGGCCUGAGAGGGUGAACGGCCACAUUGGAACUGAGACACGGUCCAAACUCCUACGGGAGGCAGCAGUGGGGAAUAUUGCACAAUGGGGGGAACCCUGAUGCAGCGACGCCGCGUGAGCGAAGAAGGUAUUCGUAUCGUAAAGCUCUGUCCUAUGGGAAGAUAAUGACGGUACCAUAGGAGGAAGCUCCGGCUAACUACGUGCCAGCAGCCGCGGUAAUACGUAGGGAGCAAGCGUUGUCCGGAAUCACUGGGCGUAAAGGGUUCGCAGGCGGCAAUGCAAGUCUCGUGUGAAAGGCAAGGGGCUCAACCCUUGUAAGCACAAAAAACUGCAUAGCUUGAGUAGUGGAGAGGCAAGUGGAAUUCCUAGUGUAGCGGUGAAAUGCGUACAUAUUAGGAGGAAUACCGGUGGCGAAGGCUACUUGCUGGACACCAACUGACGCUGAGGAACGAAAGCGUGGGGGAGAAACAUG